CUGCUGCAGUGUGUGGGUUCCUGCUGCAGUGUUUAGAUCCCUGCUGCAGUGGGUGCAUUCCUGCUGCAGUGGGUGCAUUCCUGCUGCAGUGGG
Molecule: non-coding RNA, 93 nt
Organism: Turdus rufiventris (rufous-bellied thrush)
Lineage: Eukaryota; Metazoa; Chordata; Aves; Passeriformes; Turdidae
Source: the annotation of a GenBank genome assembly